CAAAUAAUCUUGGUCUAUUCAAAGUUGUGGUAUGUCUACUCUCUCUCUCAAUCAACGCUCUCUGUCUCUGAGUUUCCUUCUCUCUUUCUCUUUAAUGGCCAUUGACGCGAAACUACGAAUCCUACAAUUCCUCCCCUGAUUUGUUUCUGAAUUCUUAGAAGCGAAUCCUGAUAUUGUUUCAAUAUCAUGAAGAUCCUCAAUUUUCGGUAAAUAUCAGGUUGCCUAAUUGCUAUUGAAAUGUGCGGCAGGAAUUAUAGGUUUUUCGAUGAAUUUGACAGAUUAAUGCUGAUUCAAUAUUAUUUGCAAUGCAAUUAGUAUCAAAUGAUAGUCACAAGGAAGAUAUUUCAGAAAGUGAGCCCAUCUUAUGCCAGUCUACCAUUUUGCAUCAUUCUGAAGAAUCAUCAUCUUCAUGUGAAAUUAUAUCUAUAGCACGGGAUUGCGAUGAUUUAGAAGGUGUUCAAAUCGAUGAAACUUACCAUCUAGUUAAUCCAGAUCAACCUCAAUGCCGUAUUUGCCUUGAUACUGCAGGAGAAGACCUAAUUGCACCAUGCCAUUGCAAAGGCACUCAAAAGUAUGUUCAUAGGUCAUGCCUUGAUAACUGGAGGUCAACCAAGGAGGGCUUUGCUUUUGCUCACUGUACAGAGUGCAGGGCAUUGUUUGUAUUACGUGCCAAUGUCCCACCUGACCGCUGGUGGUUGAGAUUGAAAUUUCAGUUCCUUGUUGCGAGGGACCAUGCAUUCAUUUUUGUAGUUGUUCAGCUGAUUGUUGCACUCUUGGGGAUGCUUGUCUACAAGUUCUAUGGGGAGGAGCUCAGAGAAAUGUUUGGCUAUGAAGAACAUCCUUACGGGUUUUAUACAAUGGCUGUUUUAGCUAUUGUUUUGGUGGGUUUGCUCUAUGGUUUCUUCAUUGCCAUUAUAUGUGGACAAAGGAUCAAUGAACGCCAUUACCAUGUCCUUGCCAAACAAGAACUAACAAGGGUCUGGAAUAUGUGGUAGAAGACCGAGAAGCUAGCAAAAAUGUACCUGAACUUGAUGCCAGCCAUGUUACAGAGCUAAGAAUGUUGGGCCUUUAUUAAUUCGGAAUUCUCUGCGGUGUUAUAAUCUCAGUCUUGCAUUCCUUUGGAUGGAGUCUUUUUUGGAUAGUCUACAUGAAUUUGUGCAUCAUGGAGCAACUAAAUUUGGUUCUUAACAAUUUACAUGAGGUAUUGCCUUCAUGUGAUUGGUUUUAUGUUUGGACAUGACAUUUGGACACUGAGCAAAUCGAUGCUGGAAAGUUUGUCCUUGCCUUCACUUGUACAUGGAGAAUCAUGGGCAUCUUCCAAUUUCAAACUACAUAGCCGGAAGUGUUGUUUAUCUUUAGGAAUUCCUAUACCUGUAUUUCAGUCGUUGUGUAUUAAGAAACAGCACCAUAGAGAAAUACUUGUUUAACAUUUGUUUUCUUACGAGAAAAUUAUCCAUACCUUUUUGUUCGUGAGACCUAAAA
RNA transcript from Hevea brasiliensis (rubber tree), 1482 nucleotides. RefSeq lists it as uncharacterized. The transcript is spliced from 8 exons. NCBI's taxonomy places the organism in Eukaryota, Viridiplantae, Streptophyta, Magnoliopsida, Malpighiales, Euphorbiaceae. The record is from RefSeq and is a predicted model, not a curated record.